AGACCCGAAACCCGGUGAUCUAGCCAUGGGCAGGUUGAAGGUUGGGUAACACUAACUGGAGGACCGAACCGACUAAUGUUGAAAAAUUAGCGGAUGACCUGUGGCUGGGGGUGAAAGGCCAAUCAAACCGGGAGAUAGCUGGUUCUCCCCGAAAGCUAUUUAGGUAGCGCCUCGUGAAUUCAUCUCCGGGGGUAGAGCACUGUUUCGGCUAGGGGGCCAUCCCGGCUUACCAACCCGAUGCAAACUGCGAAUACCGGAGAAUGUUAUCACGGGAGACACACGGCGGGUGCUAACGUCCGUCGUGAAGAGGGAAACAACCCAGACCGCCAGCUAAGGUCCCAAAGUCAUGGUUAAGUGGGAAACGAUGUGGGAAGGCCCAGACAGCCAGGAUGUUGGCUUAGAAGCAGCCAUCAUUUAAAGAAAGCGUAAUAGCUCACUGGUCGAGUCGGCCUGCGCGGAAGAUGUAACGGGGCUAAACCAUGCACCGAAGCUGCGGCAGCGACGCUGAUGCGUUGUUGGGUAGGGGAGCGUUCUGUAAGCCUGCGAAGGUGGCCUGUGAGGGUUGCUGGAGGUAUCAGAAGUGCGAAUGCUGACAUAAGUAACGAUAAAGCGGGUGAAAAGCCCGCUCGCCGGAAGACCAAGGGUUCCUGUCCAACGUUAAUCGGGGCAGGGUGAGUCGACCCCUAAGGCGAGGCCGAAAGGCGUAGUCGAUGGGAAACGGGUUAAUAUUCCCGUACUUGGUGUUACUGCGAAGGGGGGACGGAGAAGGCUAUGUUGGCCGGGCGACGGUUGUCCCGGUUUAAGCGUGUAGGUGUGUGUUCCAGGUAAAUCCGGUUCACUUUAACACUGAGGCGUGAUGACGAGGCACUACGGUG
RNAcentral lists this ribosomal RNA (875 nucleotides) under Salmonella enterica subsp. enterica serovar Reading. Its description in RNAcentral is "partial 23S ribosomal RNA". It matches the Rfam family "Bacterial large subunit ribosomal RNA", at positions 711 to 1584 of the family's 2925-position model. The record is from RNAcentral. Lineage: Bacteria; Pseudomonadati; Pseudomonadota; Gammaproteobacteria; Enterobacterales; Enterobacteriaceae.